CGCCUGUUUAUCAAAAACAUUGCCUGCUGAAAAACAAAUUUCAGGUAAUUCCUGCCCAAUGAAAAUUUUAAAUGGCCGCGGUAAACCGUGCAAAGGUAGCAUAAUCAUUUGCCUCUUAAUUAGGGGCUGGCAUGAACGGAUUAAACGAGAAAAAAGCUGUCUCAAGGAGAACACUAAAACCUAUCCUUUAGGUGAAAAGACCUAAAUAAAUAUAGAAGACAAGAAGACCCUAUCGCGCUUUAUUUAUACUUUCCCCAUCAAGAGAAAGAAAAAUUUGGUUGGGGCGACCCAUGACACCCAAAAACGUCUAUAACCCACAAGACUCACAAGUCCACUUAAUGACCCUAUUAAGAUUAAAGAACAAGUCACCGUAGGGAUAACAGGCUAAUCCCCUCCUAGAGCCCAAAUCGACGAGGGGGGUUGGCACCUCGAUGUUGGCUUAGGGCAUCCUUUAGAUGUAGCCGUCUAAAAAGGCAGGUUUGUUCAACCUAAUUCGCCCUACAUGAUCUGAGUUC
Molecule: ribosomal RNA, 515 nt
Filed under: Urechis unicinctus
Lineage: Eukaryota; Metazoa; Annelida; Polychaeta; Xenopneusta; Urechidae
Description: partial 16S rRNA
Rfam family: Bacterial large subunit ribosomal RNA
Source: RNAcentral